Molecule: non-coding RNA, 522 nt
Filed under: Eurypyga helias (sunbittern)
Lineage: Eukaryota; Metazoa; Chordata; Aves; Eurypygiformes; Eurypygidae
Description: Eukaryotic large subunit ribosomal RNA
Rfam family: Eukaryotic large subunit ribosomal RNA
Source: Rfam by way of RNAcentral
UGGGAUGCAUCACUCCUGAGCUUAGUGGACGUGAUCUUUGAAUAUUAACCAGCCUUCUUGGGCCCCUCUUCCCUCCAUGCCAUGGCUUCAUGCCAUCACAGAAUCAUAGAAUCAGACCAUGAAAGCGGAGCCUCACGAUCCUUCUGCUUUUUGGGUUUUAAGCAGGAGGUGUCAGAAGAGUUACCACAGGGAUAACUGCCUUGUGGCGGCCAAGCAUUCAUAGUGACGCGCUUUUUGAUCCUUCGAUGUCAGCUCUUCCUAUCAUUGUGAAGCAGAAUUCACCAACUGUUGGAUUGUUCACCCAAUAAUAGAGAACGUGAGCGGGGCUUAGACUGUCGUGAGACAGGUUAGUUUUACCCUACUGAUGAGGGGUUGUUGCAAUAGAAACCCUGCAACCGCAGGUUCAGACCCCUGGUGCGUGCGCUUGGCUGAGGAGCCACUGGUGCGAGGCUACCGUCUGCGGGCUUAUGACUGAACGCCUCUAAGUCAGAAUCCCGCCUAGACGUAGCGAUACCGCAGCGU